UCCAACUUAUCGCUGGCGGUCUCCUGCGAGUGCUCCCCUUGCGGGGGUGGCAACACAGGACGAGGGUUGCGCUCGUUGCGGGACUUAACCCAACAUCUCACGACACGAGCUGACGACAGCCAUGCAGCACCUCGACCGGACCCCCUUGCGGGGUAAAGAUGUUUCCACCCUCGUUGACCGGCCGUUCGAGCCCAGGUAAGGUUCUUCGCGUUGCGUCGAAUUGAACCACAUGCUCCACCGCUUGUGCGGGCCCCCGUCAAUUCCUUUGAGUUUCAGCCUUGCGACUGUACUCCCCAGGCGGCACGUUUAACGCGUUAGCUCCGGCACGGAUGAACUGAAUCACCCACACCAAACGUGCAUCGUUUAGGGCGUGGACUAC
RNAcentral lists this unclassified non-coding RNA (379 nucleotides) under uncultured Bryobacterales bacterium. RNAcentral's name for it is "contains 16S-23S intergenic spacer region". Lineage: Bacteria; Pseudomonadati; Acidobacteriota; Terriglobia; Bryobacterales. The record is from RNAcentral.